AGUGAAGAAGUACUUCUGAGAUAAUAAAAUAAUUAAGACAGAUUAGUAGUUAUUACCCAAUUGCUUUUAAAAUUUGAACGUGAGAUCCCUAUUUCUAAAGAAGACUUUAUGUUUAAUCCUGGAAAAGUUUAAUUCCCUAUGACACUGACAAAUUUUAAGAAUAAAUUUCUUUUUUAAAUGUAUUUUUGAAAAAUCACUCAUUUUCCUAGUGGGUGGAAUUUUUCCUGUAGAUUUCACCAGACAAAAAUCUUGGUUGUCAUUUUUAAAAAAUCUGCUUUUUAAGCUAUUUCAACUUAUUUAAUUUUUUUCUAAAGCAGAUGCUGUUUUUCUUUCCCUUUCUGCUGCUCUUGACUAUGAAAUUGAGUAUUUCUGGCACUUGAUUAAUUAAAUCAUGAAUUGUAACCCAGACUACUUUGUUUUGUAACCAGAGUUCUGUGCAAAACAUAUGGGACAAUGUUAGUCACAUUCCACAGUUUGAGACUUGGAAGACAUUUUAGAGAAGACAACAGUGUUCUAUGAAAGAGAAAAGAUUUUGGAAUGCUCAGUUCUUGCAGCCUAAUUGAGGCAUCUUAAGGACUCCUUUUGUCCCUUUGGAUUACCUCCCCAAAACUAAAAGAUCAAAUCUAGAGUCAUGGGUCAUUUUAAUAUGGCAUCAACUAAAUUAUACAGUGUAUUUUUUAUGCACAUACCUACUCUACUGCCUUGGCCCACAACUCUGUCAAGACCUGGUUUUCAUUUCUUCCUAGACUUGAGAUGCUUGGUGGAGCUCACUACUGACCUCUUUCUUAUAUAGGCUCCUUUUCUCUUUGCUGCAAAGCACACUCCUAUGUUCUCUAUAAAUCUUCCCCUUGUUGUGGUCUCAUCCUCUGGCCUUCCAUUCCAUAUUGACUUAAAUGCAACCUGUCAUGUGGUUUUGUAAUGUUCUACUUGCUCCACUAAUGCAUUAUUCCUCAGUGUGAACCAUCAGAUUUACAUCAGUCAGACCAUGAAUUUACAUUUCUAAUAAACAUUCCAAAGAUUUCUUAUGCAUGUUAAUAUUUGAGCAUUGUUUACCAAAGUAAGUUAAAGACAGGCACAGAUUCUUAAUCGUAUUUGUGUCUCCAAGUGCCUCACAUUCAGGACGUGAUCAAUAAAUGCUUGUCAAAUAAAUAUUAAACAAGGUGUGGAGCCCUAUAUUAUUUAUACAAGA
This 1189-nucleotide long non-coding RNA is filed under the name Marmota monax (woodchuck). The record is from RNAcentral. Lineage: Eukaryota; Metazoa; Chordata; Mammalia; Rodentia; Sciuridae.